UUCUUCGUCCUAUUCCUCUUCUACAGGCAGCCGCCGGCGCCGCUUCCUCCCUCCCUCUCGGCUGCCUUGUCUCCUCUGCCUCCACCUCCUCCUCCCAUGUCUCCUCACUCGACCUCCCCUGCCUCCUCACCUGACUGGCACAGAUAGGACGAUGUGCAGGCAAAGGGAGAUGGCGGCGCUCGAUCCGAUCUGUAGGAGAGAGAAGAUGAGAGGGAGAGAUAGAAGGAAGGAGAGAAUGGAUGGUGUGGUCUUCAUGACGCGUGUGGAGGAGCAGGAGAGAAGAUGGGAGGGAGAGGGAGAGGAUCUUGAGGAAGAGUAUAGGACAAGGAAUUCCACAUAUUGAACCUUCAAGAUGACUUGAAAUGGACCUGGACAAUGUGAAUUGGGGCCAGUAUCUAAACACUCUGUUUUGGAACCUCAACUAUUGGGAUUGAAUCAGUAUGCUGGCUGGAGAGGAUUGACGGGGCUGCUCUCAUUUUCGGUUUGCUACUGCUCCUUGCAUUCUACCGCUUCUCAUUGUUGUCAUAAGAAGAUGAGAUGUUCUUCGGUACGAUGCUCCUGGCGUGUUUGAUGAAAUGUCUAUAAGAUGAUAUGUUACUCAUUCUCUCUUUCCUUCUCGGUUGGUUCUUGGGUCCUCCAUGUCGUUAGCCAUCAAGGCAGCCAAGACGGUGAAGAUCUGCUGCAUAUGAGUUGGCUACGUCCGCGGCCCAACAAUGGUUGUCAUUGCCAUCAAGUGCCCAACAAUUGAGGUGGUGGUUGUCGACAUCUCCAAGCCCCGCAUUCACGCCUGGAACAACGACACCCUCCCGAUCUACGAGCCCGGCCUCGAUGAUGUUGUCAAGGCGUGCAGGGGCAAGAACCUCUUCUUCAGCACCGACGUCGAGAAGCACAUCGCCGAGGCCGACAUCAUCUUUGUCUCGGUGAACACCCCCACCAAGACCCGAAGUCUGGGAGCCGGCAAGGCUGCCGACCUCACCUACUGGGAGAGCGCAGCCCGGAUGAUUGCCGACGUGUCCAACUCCGACAAGAUCGAUGUUGAUGAGUCCACUGUCCCUGUCAAGACCGCAGAGGCCAUUGAGAAGAUCCUGACCCACAACAACAAGGGCAUCAACUACCAGAUCCUGACCAACCCAGAGUUUCCUUGCCGAGGGCACGGCGACCGACGACCUGUUCAAGCCCGACAGAGUGCUCAUCGGUGGCCGGGAGACCCCCGAGGGCAGGAAGGCUGUCCAGGCCAUCAAGGAGGUGUAUGCCUACUGGGUGUCCGAGGAGAACAUCGUCACCACCAACCUGUGGUCUAAUGAGCUCUUCAAGCUCGCUGCCAACGCCUUCCUGGCAUAGAGGAUCUGCUUCGUGAACGCCAUGUCAGUGCUCUGUGAGGCCACGUGCGUGCUCGUGCUCAUGGUGGUUUCCCAUAUAUCAGCAGCGCGGAGGAGCUGGUAUCCUCAGCCAGAGUUGGGUGUACUUGCGGGCGACCUCACCCUCACCAGUGCAUCUGCAGGGGGCUGCUCUUUGAUUCAGAGUAAAAUCAAGUUCUUUACCUAUGGAGGAGGUAGAUACUGAUGGAGUGGAUGACAAGGUGUUCUCCAGGUUCUGCAUCAUCUCCAUACUCUGCAUCAUUAGUGAGCAACUUACCUAGGGAGGAGGUAGAUACUGACAGAGUGUAUGAGCAGUGAAUAAAAUAGAGGAGUGGCCUGUUCACCGGAGCAAGCGAGGAAGAUAGCUCAGCCCGACCACCAACGUCCACUCACCGGUUUCUUUGAUGCCUCGACCUCGAGCUGCAUCAGCUCGUUGAUAUGUGAUGGACAUCUCCCAGCAGUCCCUCGAUUGCCAGGCCACCGUGCCCGACCUCGACAAGGCGUUCGGAUGGUUGUGAGGCAGGUGCUGCUGUACCAGCGGUGCUACUAUGUUGCUCUGCCCUCAACCAUCCAAAUCAUUUCUACCAGACCCAAUCUUCCACUGCCAUCUCAUACAUAUGCAGGUACUAUCCAGUAUCUAUGCACGAGCUACCGAGCGUGAGUGUGGCCAUCACCCAGGAGCAGGAAGAAGAUGGUUUAAUAUAUUGGUGUCAGAGCGCUUGUUGCAAUAACCGUCAAAUCUUGAUUGUAUUAUAUUGAUCAGACCAAGAACUUUUUGGAUAAAUUAGCAUGAAGUGAUCAGGAGCAGAGAAAUAGAUAUGUCUUGAAGAAAUGGAUAUAUAUGGUUUUAAGGUUACAUGAAGAUAUAUAUGUCUAGAUCAAGUUGAGUACUGAGGGAAUUGCUUGAACCUGGCAUCGAAGGGUGAAGAAUAUGAGCAUCCGGAGUAUAUCAUUCGCAGUGAGCCAAUGCCAAGCUACAAUGCUUAUUAUCUUGUUCUGAUAUUCCCCAUUUAAAAUAAAAUGACCUAAUAGUUUUUAUGAUCUGCUAUACCUCUCUGACACCAAUUUUCUGCCAUAGAACCGAAAGAACAUAUAUUAGGCCGAUCAAUAAUGCUCAAGUUAACUAACUUGCUUACUAUAUUCUUCCUACCAUAGGUUUAAAGCUUAAUUCUACUUUUCUCUUGAUGAAAGCUUAGUCUCCUAACAAUAAAUAGUAUUCAGCCUCCUUACAUGUCAUUUCGAUCUUUCCAAAUCUUACCAAAACGAAACUAAAUUCAGGACCACCCCCUGCUAUCCAAUACUGCAGAGAGCUUGAAAGGUAUUGUCACUGUGGCAAUGAAGUGAAGCUCUAUCAGCACCAUGUGAACAAGUUGUUUGCCAUGUUCCGCCGCAGAAAAACAGAUAUCAAAUACUAUGUCUGCACCAUCAACAAAACAUUUGCAAAGCUAGGCCAACCAAUGUAUUUUCAGGUCAACUACACUGAAAGAAAAUUAAAUGAUUGCAUUGACCCAGAUUAUGAUACGCUCAAGGUCAGGCUUGCAAACAGUGAUCUACAAGCCAAUUGCCGCAUCAUGCUAGGAACCGACAAGAGAGCCAUUGUAACAAUCAACUGGUCUGAGUACCGUUGCCUUGCAAAAAUCCAUGGAGACAUCUCUGCCUUUCGUUUCAAGGUCACCACAAAGCAGCGCCGGGUUCUCAUGGUGCAUUUUUGUCGUGGUGACUACUCUCAGCCAGAUAUGUAUAGACUUUAGUCCUCCCUUGCUGUCUCUAUGGUGAAAAGUAGUCUACGAUCUUUAGAUUUUAUUGUUGUCUCUAUGGUCAAAAGCGGUUUACCAUCUCUUAUUGUAUAUAUGUGAAGGACUCCUCUUCUACUGUUGUUUCCAGAA
Triticum dicoccoides is the source of this 3244-nucleotide RNA transcript. RefSeq lists it as uncharacterized. The record is from RefSeq and is a predicted model, not a curated record. Lineage: Eukaryota; Viridiplantae; Streptophyta; Magnoliopsida; Poales; Poaceae. The transcript has 10 exons.